AAGUCGUAACAAGGUCUCCGUUGGUGAACCAGCGGAGGGAUCAUUACAGAGUUGCAAAACUCCCUAAACCAUCGCGAACGUACCCGUACCGUUGCCUCGGUGGGCGGCUCCAGGGCGGAGCCCCAGCCUUCACAGGCGCCCACCGGCCGGCCCAAUAUAUACAACCAUUUAUCUUCAUAGGCCUCUCUGAGUCUUUAUAUAAAUAAGUUAAAA
This 213-nucleotide unclassified non-coding RNA is filed under the name plant metagenome. RNAcentral's name for it is "partial contains small subunit ribosomal RNA and internal transcribed spacer 1". The stretch from base 1 to 46 matches the Rfam family "Eukaryotic small subunit ribosomal RNA", at positions 1786 to 1831 of the family's 1831-position model. The record is from RNAcentral.